This 252-nucleotide ribosomal RNA is filed under the name uncultured bacterium. RNAcentral's name for it is "partial 16S ribosomal RNA". It matches the Rfam family "Bacterial small subunit ribosomal RNA", at positions 524 to 776 of the family's 1533-position model. The record is from RNAcentral.
UACGGGGGGGCAAGCGUUGUUCGGAAUUCCUGGGCGUAAAGGGCUCGUAGGUGGCCAACUAAGUCAGCCGUGAAAUCCCUCGGCUUAACCGGGGAACUGCGUCUGAUACUGGAUGGCUUGAGAUUGGGAGAGGGAUGCGGAAUUCCAGGUGUAGCGGUGAAAUGCGUAGAUAUCUGGAGGAACACCGGUGGCGAAGGCGGCAUCCUGGACCAACACUGACGCUGAGGAGCGAAAGCCAGGGGAGCAAACGGG